GGUGGUGUUUGUCCAGCGAAACCUUGUCUUCUAGAGUUUCUUUUCUGGGAGAAGAGGCUGCAAGGCUUAAGUGCAUCCGAUGUGAGUGAGCAGAUCAUAAAAUCGAUGGAGCUGCCUAAAGGGCUUCAAGCUGAAACCUGAACGCCCUCAGCAGGCUGGUUAAGAAGAUGAAGAGUUCAAUCCUCGCCAGCUGCUCCCCUGGACACACCCGAGCCCCUGUGGAGAAAGCAAAGGAACAACAGACUGAGUAACAAUCUCUUCUCCAGAGCAUUUCCCCCAGCUUGGAACAACACAUGCAUCUGAGGAAGGACACGUGUUGGUAGCCUCUUCCCCACCUCACACCCUGGAGUAACCCAUGAGGAAUUGCUGCUCCUACAGCUGCCCCCUCUAUAAAUUCCUUUUACUCUAUUGGUUGGCAUCCCUCAGAGAGGCGUGGCUUUGGCCCAGGCUCCACCAGUAGCUGGCCUUGCUUGUAUACUGUUUCAAAGCAGGCAAAAUUACUGGAAAUACUUAGGACAGAGAAAUGCAUAAAGCAUCUUAAAUUAAGCAAUGUAGAUCACAGGGAAUGGAACUGAGAAAGAGUUUUCUACAUGCAGCUGUUAAUCCACUGUUAAUUUGCUACAUCCACUUUUGGUUUCAUUGUAGAAUUGAAAUCUGAGCACCCUCUGAGCAGUGUUUUCUUUUGUGCUUUUAUGCUACAUAACCUUUAGGUGGGACUCUGGCAUAAAUGCCAAAACUAACCAAAAUCCCUAUAUAUAGCAGCUGGGCACAUUUGUCUUUGUUAUAGUAGCAUCAAACAAAAUAAUAAACAUUUCCAAUGUCCUUUUAACUAUUAAAACCUCUCCCCUUUCCCAAUUGAA
Molecule: long non-coding RNA, 860 nt
Organism: Elgaria multicarinata webbii
Lineage: Eukaryota; Metazoa; Chordata; Lepidosauria; Squamata; Anguidae
Exons: 3
Source: RefSeq, a predicted model, not a curated record